Rana temporaria (common frog) is the source of this 474-nucleotide long non-coding RNA. RefSeq lists it as uncharacterized. The record is from RefSeq and is a predicted model, not a curated record. The transcript has 3 exons. NCBI's taxonomy places the organism in Eukaryota, Metazoa, Chordata, Amphibia, Anura, Ranidae.
CUUCUUUGAGUUGAAUACUCACUGAGUGGCAACACUUAAUUAUCUUCACAGAGAGUUUGGAGCAGCUGAUAGGAGGUGAGAUGAACAACCAGACACCCGCCCAAAGGCUAUACUGUUUGAGUAAUCCCUGCACAGAGGUGUUUGUGUACUAGACUGGCUGUCGGUGUGAACAUCUGAAGCUGUCUUUCUUUUGGUACAAGGCGAGUUUGACUCCUGUGAUAGGAGUCCACCAUUCCUGCGGACCCUUAUGGUCCUCUUUCCAUUAUUAGUUUUCCUACUCAUAAUUUUUCUCCCAGCUGUAUGUUGAAUGCAUAGAAUUAACCCACGAAUGCAUAGGUUUGCAUUAAUACUUUCUAUCUGAGGCGUGGAUUGUGUCUCCAGCUAGUGGACAGAAGUGUUUAUGACAUCUGUGUUGCUUUACCUGUUCAGAAUAUAUGAUGAUUUAUAUAACUUUUUAUGAUAUUAAAAAUGUUA